CUGGUUCUGAGUCUCCCCAGGCUCUCACACGCACUGUAUUGCCAAAAUGUCUCUUUCUAGCAAGCUGACUCUGGACAAGCUGGACGUGAAGGGGAAGUGGGUCGUUAUGAGAGUGGACUUCAAUGUUCCCAUGAAGAACAACCAGAUAACAAACAACCAGAGGAUCAAAGCUGCAGUCCCAAGCAUCAAAUUCUGCUUGGACAGUGGAACCAAGUCAGUUGUACUUAUGAGCCAUCUGGGCCAGCCUGAUGGUGUCCCCAUGCCUGACAAGUAUUCCCUAGAGCCAGCUGCCAUAGAACUCAAAUCUCUGCUGAGCAAGGAUGUUCUGUUCUUGGAGGACUGUGUAGUUCCAGAGGUGGAGAAAACUUGUGCCAACCCAGCUGCUGGGUCGUCCUCCUGCUAGAGAACCUCCGCUUUCAUGUGGAGGAAGAAGGGAAGGGAAAAGAUGCUUCUGGGAACAAGGUUAAAGCUGAACCAGCUAAAAUAGAAGCUUUCUGAGCUUCACUUUCCAAGCUAGGGGAUGUCUAUGUCAAUGAUGCUUUUGGCACUGCUCACCAAGCCCACAGCUCCAUGGUGGGAGUUAAUCUGCCAGAGAAGGCUGGUGGGUUUUUGAUGAAGAAGGAACUGAACUACUUUGCCAAGGCCUUGGAGAGCCCAGAGCAACCCUUCCUGGCCAUCUUGGGCAGAGCUAAAGUUGCAGACAAGAUCCAGUUGAUCAAGAAUAUGCUGGACAAAGUCAAUGAAAUGAUUAUUGAUGGUGAAAUGGCUUCUACCUUCCUUAAAGUGCUCAACAACAUGGAGAUUGGCACUUCUCUGUUUGAUGAAGAAGGAGCCAAGAUUGUUAAAGACCUAAUAUCCAAAGCUGAGAAAAAUGGUGUGAGAAUCACCUUGCCUAUUGACUUUGUCACUGCUGACAAGUUUGAUGAGAAUGCCAUGACUGGCCAAGCCACUGUGGAUUCUGGCAUACCUGAUGGCUGGAUGGACUUGGGCUGUGGUCCUGACAGCAGCAAGAAGUAUGCUGAAGCUGUCUCUUCAGCUAAGCAGAUUGUAUGGAACAGACCUGUAGGGGUAUUUGAAUGGGAAGCUUUUGCCCGGGGAACCAAAGCCCUCAUGGAUGAGGUCGUGAAAGCCACUUCUAGAGGCUGCAUCACCAUCAUUGGUGGUGGAGACACUGCCACUUGCUGUGCCAAAUGGAACACGGAGGAUAAAGUCAACCAUGUGAGCACUGGGGGUGGUGCCAGGUUAAAGCUCCUGGAAGGUGAAGUCCUUCCUGGGGUGGACGCCCUCAGCAAUAUUUAGUACUUUCCUGCCUUUUGGUUCCUGUGCACAGCUGCUAAGUCAACUUAGCAUUAUCUGCAUCUCUCCUUUGCAUUAGCUGAAAGCUCAUUCACGUCAAGAUUUAGCUAUUGUCCAAGAGAUACAGUGCCAGGAACUUAGACACAGUUGCACAGCAUCUCAACUCAUCUUUACUGCACCCUGGAUUUGCCUAUAUUCUUCAAGAUCCUGUUUGAAUUUCUUAGUAACUAAACCAUUGUGCAUUCUAGAGUGCGAAUAUUUAUAUUUGGCCUGUUAAAAGAAAGUGAGUUGUGUUAGUUAGCUUAGUUCUCUUUUAGAAGUAGCUUAUUCUGGUUAGCUUUGUCACUGUUUCACUACUCAGCAUGGAAACAAGAUGAAUUCCAGUUGAAGGUAGGGAGACAAAGUCCAUGAUCUGUUAAAUAAACAAUUAAAGCAUCCAUUGAAAC
RNA transcript from Otolemur garnettii (small-eared galago), 1742 nucleotides. It is a transcript of the gene named phosphoglycerate kinase 1 pseudogene, with no coding region annotated. The record is from RefSeq and is a predicted model, not a curated record. NCBI's taxonomy places the organism in Eukaryota, Metazoa, Chordata, Mammalia, Primates, Galagidae. The transcript has a single exon.